This 497-nucleotide ribosomal RNA is filed under the name uncultured bacterium. RNAcentral describes it as "partial 16S ribosomal RNA". It matches the Rfam family "Bacterial small subunit ribosomal RNA", at positions 28 to 507 of the family's 1533-position model. The record is from RNAcentral.
GAUGAACGCUGGCGGCGUGCCUAAUACAUGCAAGUCGAGCGAACGGACGAGAAGCUUGCUUCUCUGAUGUUAGCGGCGGACGGGUGAGUAACACGUGGAUAACCUACCUAUAAGACUGGGAUAACUUCGGGAAACCGGAGCUAAUACCGGAUAAUAUUUUGAACCGCAUGGUUCAAAAGUAAAAGAGGGUCUUGCUGUCACUUAUAGAUGGAUCCGCGCUGCAUUAGCUAGUUGGUAAGGUAACGGCUUACCAAGGCAACGAUGCAUAGCCGACCUGAGAGGGUGAUCGGCCACACUGGAACUGAGACACGGUCCAGACUCCUACGGGAGGCAGCAGUAGGGAAUCUUCCGCAAAGGGCGAAAGCCUGACGGAGCAACGCCGCGUGAGUGAUGAAGGUCUUCGGAUCGUAAAACUCUGUUAUUAGGGAAGAACAUAUGUGUAAGUAACUGUGCACAUCUUGACGGUACCUAAUCAGAAAGCCACGGCUAACUACGUG